CACGGUGUGAUUCAUGACUGGGGUGAAGUCGUAACAAGGUAGCCCUAGGGGAACCUGGGGCUGGAUCACCUCCUUAAACGAC
Molecule: ribosomal RNA, 82 nt
Filed under: Moraxellaceae bacterium
Lineage: Bacteria; Pseudomonadati; Pseudomonadota; Gammaproteobacteria; Moraxellales; Moraxellaceae
Description: partial 16S ribosomal RNA
Rfam family: Bacterial small subunit ribosomal RNA
Source: RNAcentral